This 471-nucleotide long non-coding RNA is filed under the name Zostera marina. RNAcentral describes it as "long non-coding RNA (ZMAR_LNC003259)". Lineage: Eukaryota; Viridiplantae; Streptophyta; Magnoliopsida; Alismatales; Zosteraceae. The record is from RNAcentral.
CCACCUGUCCAAGUUGCUUCUUUAAAUCACUAUGCCCCUCAUCCUGAGAUGGAAAUGCAUAAUUCAGCACCUAAUCCAUUUUCCCAACAGAUUGUACCAUCACAAAUGUAUUCUCAGAACCAGUAUCCUCAAACUCAAUUUCCUCAACCUAGUUUGCCAACAGUAUCAUCUUCUCCAAAUCUCAGCCAGUCUUUCAUGGUGGCUCCAAUGAUGUCACAGAACACAACAACAUCUACUGUUCCUCCAUCGGCGAUUCCACAAUCAAUUGUACCAUCACAAAUGUAUUCGCAGAACCAGUAUCCUCAAACUCAAUUUCCUCAACCUGGUUUGCCAACAGUAUCAUCUUCUCCAAAUCUCAGCCAGUCUUUCAUGGUGGCUCCAAUGAUGUCACAGAACACAACAUCUACUGUUCCUUCAUCGGCGAUUCCACAAUCAAAACAGAAGUUUGAGACCAAGUCAUCUGUCUGGGCU